Molecule: long non-coding RNA, 552 nt
Organism: Megalobrama amblycephala (Wuchang bream)
Lineage: Eukaryota; Metazoa; Chordata; Actinopteri; Cypriniformes; Xenocyprididae
Exons: 3
Source: RefSeq, a predicted model, not a curated record
GUAACCCUGCUGUAACCUGGCUGUAAUAUACCAGGCAAUAAUACAGGAUUGCUGUAAAUAACGCGCCACCUGACGUCACAUCACACAGACAGAAGAACACGGCCGCUGGUGACUGGAGAAGCAGAACGGUGUAUUUCUGGAAGUUUGCAGUGUGGUCCACUUGUCUUUGCAUCCUGGGAAGUGCAUUGCUUUCACAAGGAAGCGUAUUUUUUUGGCAUUGAAGGAAAGAAAUGUACUGCCCGACAGGGAGUGAGCAGAAGACCAGGACGGUGGUGCAGAGUGAUGGCCAUCAACCCACAUGUCAACAGCUUCGUUCGGUCCUUUGUGUUUAAAUGGAAGACUUCACACUGAGGGACUGUGGCCUGUUUGCAACCAUCCACGUGCCCUUCAGUUAGGGGUGAAUCUUGUGGGACACUUGUUGUUUUUGCUCACUUUUUAAGAUAAAUCAAAUUUCUGAUGCACUGUACCAAGACCGUUGCUGAUGGGGCGAAAGAUGGUGACAAUUCUGAAAUGUUUUGAAAUGUUUAAAUAUAUUGAUUGAAUAAAAAUACA